This 1461-nucleotide ribosomal RNA is filed under the name uncultured Bordetella sp. Its description in RNAcentral is "partial 16S-23S ribosomal RNA intergenic spacer". It matches the Rfam family "Bacterial small subunit ribosomal RNA". Lineage: Bacteria; Pseudomonadati; Pseudomonadota; Betaproteobacteria; Burkholderiales; Alcaligenaceae. The record is from RNAcentral.
UUCGAUUAUGGCUCAGAUUGGAACGCUGGCGGGAUGUUUUACACAUGCAAGUCGAACGGCAGCACGUGGACUUCGGUCUGGUGGCGAGGGCGCAGUUCGGUGAGAAUAUCGUGGAACGCCUAGCGGGGAUAACUACGCGAAAGCGUGAUGCACACGUAGUUACCGCCUUCGGGGGAAAGCGGGGACCUUCAGCCUCGUACCAUUAGAAGGUGGCUGAUAUCGGAUUAGCUAGUUGGUGGGGUAACGGUCACCAUACAGAUUAACCGGCUGGUUUGAAAGAGGACGACCAGCCACACUGACCGAGACACGGGCCCAGACUCCUGCUGAGUAGCAGGGGGAAUUUUGACAAUGGGGGAAACUCCCGAUCCAGCCAUCCCGCGUGUGCGAUGAAGGCCUUCGGGUUGUAAAGCACUUUUUGGCAGUGAAAGAAAACGGCACGGGAUAAUACCCGUGCAACUGACGGUACCCGCAGAAUAAGCGCACCGGCUAACUACGCGCCAGCAGCCGCGGUAAUAAUGCAGGGUGCAAGCGUUAAUCAACCAUUGGGCGGGAAGCGUGCGCAGGCGGUUCGGAAGAAAGAUGAAACUUGUGAGCUUAACUUUGAACUGCAUUUAACUACCGAGCUAGAGUGCGUCAGAGGAUGAAUUUCGCGUGGGGCAGUGAAAUGCGUAGAUAUGCGGAGGAACACUGAUGGCGAAGGCAGCUCUCCUGGAUAACACCACGCUCAUGCACGAAAGCGUGGGAGCAAACAGGAUUAUGUUCUGGUAGUCCACGCCCUAAACGAUGUCAACUAGCUGUUAGCCUUCUGGGCCUUGGUAGCGCAGCUAACGCGUGAAGUUGACCGCCUGGGAGUAAUGGUCGCAAGAUUAAAACCUCGUAUGAAUUGACGGGGACCGCACAAGCGGUGGAUGAUGUGGAUUAAUUCGAUGCAACGCGAAAACCCUGUCUACCCUUGACAUGUUCGAAUCCUGAAGAGAUUUGGGAGUGCUCGCAGAGAACCGGAACACAGGGCGUCACGGUUGUCGUCAGCUCGUGUCGUGAGAUGUUGGGUUAAGUCCCGCAACGAGCGCAACCCUUGUCAUUAGUUGCCACAAAGGGCACUCUGACGAGACUGCCGGUGACAACCGGAGGAAGGUGGGGAUGACGUCAAGUCCUCAUGGCCCUUAGCGGGUAGGGAAGCCACACGUCAUACAAUGGUCGGGACAGAGGGUCGCCAACCCGCGAGGGGGAGCCAAUCCCAGAAACCCGAUCAGUCCGGAUCGCAGUCUGCAACCUGACUGCGUGAAGCCGGAAUCGCUAGUAAUCGCGGAUCAGCAUGUCGCGGUGAAUACGUUCCCGGUCUUGCACACCGCCCGUCACACCAUGCAGGGAGCGGGUUUUACCAGAAGCGAAGUUAGCCUAACCGUAAGGAGGGCGAUUACCACGGUAGGAUCUAUGACUGGGGUGAAGUCGUAACAAGAA